CUGAGAACCAACAGCUAAAGGGUGACCACCCGGCCUUUUGAGCCUCAUCCCCAGGAAACACCAUAGCUGAAGAUUCUGAGGUCAGAAGAGACUACAUAACAUCUACGAAGUUAUCACGUUUACUAAGUGCUGAAGCCAUGUUACCAGAUCACUUAGAAGAACUAUUACUUACUUUUGGAGUGCCAGAACUGACAUGUUGAACUAGGACAUUGGAAGCAGGAAGAGUUAACAGUGGAUGUCUGUGGAGUGUGCUGAGGAAAAGUUUGUCUUGCCAUAUCUCCUUAAUGGACACAAGAAGAUUCAUACGUAUAAGGGAACUCCAUUUUCCUGUGAAUAUGUCCUCGCCUCAUUGAAAUACAGGAAUUUUCUAUAAUUCAAAGGAUGGAAUGUAUCUUCAAGAAAAUUCUGAAUGAGAAUCAAAGCAAACAAUGCUUUAUUUUGAUAAAAAACAACAAUAAUAACAAAAACACUGAAGCAGUUAUGCAGGUGCCAUAUCCCUCUGGUGUGCUGGGUUCCCUGCCCUGGUCUGAAGAGGAGAGUCCUCGCUACGACCUCACACAGCAUUCCCUUCUGUGUGUCUAUGACAUCUUCCAUGUGUUUACUCCUGGAACACAAGGAGAGAUCUCCAAUUCAGUGACACCACGCCAGUUGAUGCACGCGGGUCAUCUGGCCACUGAG
RNAcentral lists this long non-coding RNA (678 nucleotides) under Equus caballus (horse). Its description in RNAcentral is "lncRNA (ENSECAG00000044776.1)". The record is from RNAcentral. Lineage: Eukaryota; Metazoa; Chordata; Mammalia; Perissodactyla; Equidae.